Molecule: small RNA, 239 nt
Filed under: Pan troglodytes (chimpanzee)
Lineage: Eukaryota; Metazoa; Chordata; Mammalia; Primates; Hominidae
Description: sense intronic
Source: RNAcentral
AUGAGAGACUUGCUGAAGGAGAAACAAACUGUGAAGUCUGACCCUAGGGAAUGAGUGCUAUGCGGAUCAGAUCAAGAGAGGGCGGCUGCCUGGCUCUGAUGCUUCCCAGACUUGGGACCCAAAACUCAAGAAGACAACGAAACAUAGUUUUUGCUCUUGUUGCCCAGGCUGGAGUGCAAUGGCAUCAUCUCAGCUCACCACAACCUCUCUCCCGGAUUCAAGCAAUUCUCCUGCCUCAG